Molecule: unclassified non-coding RNA, 149 nt
Filed under: soil metagenome
Description: partial internal transcribed spacer 1
Source: RNAcentral
CCGAGUUUACAACUCCCAAACCCCUGUGAACAUACCUAUUAUGUUGCCUCGGCGGAUCAGCCCGCGCCCCGUAAAACGGGACGGCCCGCCGCAGGAACCCUAAACUCUGUUUUUAGUGGAACUUCUGAGUAUAAAAAACAAAUAAAUCA